GCACCUUCGGGUGUGAAUUAGCGGCGAACGGGUGAGGAACACGUGAAGAAUCUGCCUUCAACUCUGGGAUAACUCCGGGAAACCGGGGCUAAUACCGGAUAUGAGCCUUGAUCGCAUGAUCGGGGCUGGAAAGUUUUUCGGUUGAAGAUGACUUCGCGGCCUAUCAGCUUGUUGGUGAGGUAAUGGCUCACCAAGGCGACGACGGGUAGCCGGCCUGAGAGGGCGACCGGCCACACUGGGACUGAGACACGGCCCAGACUCCUACGGGAGGCAGCAGUGGGGAAUAUUGGGCAAUGGAGGAAACUCUGACCCAGCGACGCCGCGUGAGGGAUGAAGGCCUUCGGGUUGUAAACCUCUUUCAGUAGGGAAGAAGCGAAAGUGACGGUACCUACAGAAGAAGCACCGGCUAACUAUGUGCCAGCAGCCGCGGUAAUACAUAGGGUGCAAGCGUUGUCCGGAAUUAUUGGGCGUAAAGAGCUCGUAGGUGGUUCGAUACGU
RNAcentral lists this ribosomal RNA (498 nucleotides) under uncultured Actinomycetes bacterium. RNAcentral's name for it is "bacterial SSU rRNA". It matches the Rfam family "Bacterial small subunit ribosomal RNA", at positions 74 to 588 of the family's 1533-position model. The record is from RNAcentral. Lineage: Bacteria; Bacillati; Actinomycetota; Actinomycetes.